AAAUGGCUACAUAACGCCUUUCUGAUUAUAGUUAGCUGGUCUCAGGCUUUACAUGAUUUCUGCCUGGGUGAAGGUUAAUCUUCUACACCUGAGAAAACUAAUCAUUGAGCCCACUUUUGCUGCACCUUUGCUUGUGUCCCAUUGUAGUGUAUGUGGUUCACACUCAAAGAAUUUGCUUUUCACAGUCCUUGUAAUAUUAUCUAUUGGCCUUCCUGUUAAUUAUCAAAAUCACAGACCUUUUAAGACAAAAAGAGAUUCCUAAUUGACUUUUACCCUAUAAAAAGACAUUUAAUCUUAUAUCUGGCACUAAACCUCUUACCUCCUUUUCUGUCCCCCCCCCCGCUUCUUUUUGCUUUGUUUUCAUUUUUAGAUGUAUAGAUGUUUUCAUUUAUAAUGAUCAAUGUUUUCUCACAUUCCGUAAGGGAGUUCUCUAGUUCUCCCUAGAGCAUCAAGUGUUCCAUCCCAAAGGUUUAUCUCAAACUGAUUAGAGCAUAGGGUAAAGGUUUGGGGAAAACCUGUUAAUCCACCAAAGUAUUAUACUAUCUGGGCAAUAUUUAUAAUAAGUAUGCCAUUUGAAAACUAAUAAUGACUUGUUCCUAAAAGAAACUUUGGGAAUUCAAGUGUUGUCAUUAAAACCAUUAAGGUGAAAACUGUUCACAGCCUGUUUGCCCGCUGAACUCUAUUAAGAGGAUGUUUGACAUUAAGAAAGGUUUCCUCCAUUAUUGGGUAAUAGGAGUUUCAUCCAUUAUACUCUUUAAAUUUUUCUUUUAAGUUUAUUUAUCUUGAGAGAGAGCCUGAGCAGGCUAGGGGGCAGAGAGAGGGGGGAGAGAGAGCAUCCCAAGCAGGCUCCACACUGUCAGCGCAAAGCCUCAUGCAGCCAGGGCUUGAACUCACGAACUGUGAGAUCUUGACCUGAGCGGAAAUCAAGAGUUGGGCGCUUAACUGACUGAGCCCCUCAGGCACCCCCCCCAUCAUCCAUUAUAUAUCCAUAUACUCAUGAAUUUCUUAGUGACUAGAAGAUGGUAGUUGAUCUUAAUGUGAGCUGUUUAUUUCUGCCCAACUGAUUUCAUACCAACUUUUCAAGUUUAGUUAUAUUCAGGGACCCGACAGAUGCUACUUUGUUUCUGCAGCAACAAUGGACGCUAACUUCAGUUAACUUUGUAAAACAUCUGGCACGUUCUACCCCGAUAAAUUUAGUGAUACCAUUACAAAAGCGGACAGUCCAGAAGGCAUUUUGGAAAGCCUGCUACCAGUCAGCAUCAUCCCAGAAAUCUAGAGCUUGAUGAUAAAUGAGAUUGUUGCUUGUCACUUAAAAUUUUUGAAAAGUAGUUCUAUUAUAAAUAAAAUUUGCAUCACAGUAAGAACUUAGCAGAAAAAUAGAAAUAUUUUUAAAUUUAUGUACAGUAGUCAGAAACAUCAUAUAUGAAGUGUUAUGAAAAAGGAUGAAUAUCAAAAAGUUUUAAAAUGUGUUUUCAUUUGUAUAAAAUGUUUAGAAUGCCUAGUGCUCUGCUUUGCAUUCGUUUCUUAAAGUGGAGCUUUGAGAUUGAUCAUUCUCAAGAGCACAUUUAAACUAUGGUGACUGUACCUUUAGGUCAAGACUGUACCUUUACUUCAUUAUAUUUGGACAUUGGAAAAAAAACAGACCUUUAAAACUGUAGUGUGUGACCUUUCUGCUAUCAACCUGGCUUAGAUUCUUUACUGUUUGUACAAUAACAAAACAAGAGGAAAGAGAAAACAUUCAGCUUGAAGAAUCAUGGCAUUUAAUUGUUGUGCCAUUUUCUCCAGUAAUUAAGGAUGUGGGUGCAAAUAGAAUGAUUAAAUUGGGCUCAGGGUGUUUGUAAAUAAAAUGUGGAUUUAGGACCCCUGACCUUUUGUUUAAGUCUGGUUGACUUUUAAGCUCCUUAAGGAGCCUUAAGGCUGGUGUCCUUUAUGUCAGAACCAGAGCUAGUGGGACAAAGGCAGACCGCUCAUUGUCUAUUUCUCUGAACAAAUGUGAAAAGAACAGAAGUAAAUUUAAGUUACUUUUGGUAGCUCUGUUCUUAGCUUGUAGAAAGAAAAAACCCUGAAAGAAAAAAAUUUUUUAUUUAAAUUCCACUGCAAAUACAAAGAAAGACUCCUAUCCUAAAAAGAAAGAUUGUUCUGUAAGGUCAUUUUGAUUCCUUUGUUUAAUCCUCCACUUAACCCAUUCUGUGCACUAUGAAAUAUUUCAUCAGAGUUCCUUCUGAUUGCUUUUUUUCUUUCUCUUCUUUCUCGUAUUAAAGAAAAAUAGCAACCGUG
Long non-coding RNA from Neofelis nebulosa (Clouded leopard), 2277 nucleotides. RefSeq lists it as uncharacterized. The record is from RefSeq and is a predicted model, not a curated record. The transcript is spliced from 2 exons. Lineage: Eukaryota; Metazoa; Chordata; Mammalia; Carnivora; Felidae.